Molecule: ribosomal RNA, 259 nt
Filed under: uncultured prokaryote
Description: partial 16S ribosomal RNA
Rfam family: Bacterial small subunit ribosomal RNA
Source: RNAcentral
UACGGAGGAUCCGAGCGUUAUCCGGAUUUAUUGGGUUUAAAGGGUGCGCAGGCGGGAGAUUAAGUCGGCGGUGAAAUUUUGCAGCUUAACUGUAACAGUGCCGUUGAUACUGGGGAGCUAGGAUUUGGUUGCUGUGGGUGGAAUGUGUGGUGUAGCGGUGAAAUGCUUAGAGAUCACACAGAAUAUCGAUUGCGAAGGCAGCUCACAAAGCCAAGAUUGACGCUGAGGCACGAAAGUGUGGGGACCAAACAGGAUUAGA